Molecule: ribosomal RNA, 2912 nt
Filed under: Pseudomonas sp. ABC1
Lineage: Bacteria; Pseudomonadati; Pseudomonadota; Gammaproteobacteria; Pseudomonadales; Pseudomonadaceae
Description: 23S ribosomal RNA
Rfam family: Bacterial large subunit ribosomal RNA
Source: RNAcentral
GUUAUAUGGUCAAGUGAAGAAGCGCAUACGGUGGAUGCCUUGGCAGUCAGAGGCGAUGAAAGACGUUGUAGCCUGCGAUAAGCUUCGGGGAGUCGGCAAACAGACUUUGAUCCGGAGAUCUCUGAAUGGGGGAACCCACCCAGCAUAAGCUGGGUAUCAUGCACUGAAUACAUAGGUGUAUGAGGCGAACCAGGGGAACUGAAACAUCUAAGUACCCUGAGGAAAAGAAAUCAACCGAGAUUCCCUUAGUAGUGGCGAGCGAACGGGGAUUAGCCCUUAAGUUGAUUUGAGAUUAGUGGAAGGCUCUGGAAAGUGCCGCCAUAGUGGGUGAUAGCCCCGUACACGAAAAUCUCUUAUCAAUGAAAUCGAGUAGGACGGAGCACGAGAAACUUUGUCUGAAUAUGGGGGGACCAUCCUCCAAGGCUAAAUACUACUGACUGACCGAUAGUGAACCAGUACCGUGAGGGAAAGGCGAAAAGAACCCCGGAGAGGGGAGUGAAAUAGAACCUGAAACCGUAUGCGUACAAGCAGUGGGAGCCUACUUUGUUAGGUGACUGCGUACCUUUUGUAUAAUGGGUCAGCGACUUAUUUUCAGUGGCGAGCUUAACCGAAUAGGGGAGGCGUAGCGAAAGCGAGUCUUAAUAGGGCGUUUAGUCGCUGGGAAUAGACCCGAAACCGGGCGAUCUAUCCAUGGGCAGGUUGAAGGUUGGGUAACACUAACUGGAGGACCGAACCGACUACCGUUGAAAAGUUAGCGGAUGACCUGUGGAUCGGAGUGAAAGGCUAAUCAAGCUCGGAGAUAGCUGGUUCUCCUCGAAAGCUAUUUAGGUAGCGCCUCGUGUAUCACUGCUGGGGGUAGAGCACUGUUUCGGCUAGGGGGUCAUCCCGACUUACCAAACCGAUGCAAACUCCGAAUACCGGCAAGUGUCAGCACGGGAGACACACGGCGGGUGCUAACGUCCGUCGUGAAAAGGGAAACAACCCAGACCGUCAGCUAAGGUCCCAAAGUCAUGGUUAAGUGGGAAACGAUGUGGGAAGGCUUAGACAGCUAGGAGGUUGGCUUAGAAGCAGCCAUCCUUUAAAGAAAGCGUAAUAGCUCACUAGUCGAGUCGGCCUGCGCGGAAGAUGUAACGGGGCUCAAACCAUGCACCGAAGCUACGGGUUCAACGUAAGUUGAGCGGUAGAGGAGCGUUCUGUAAGCCUGUGAAGGUGAGUUGAGAAGCUUGCUGGAGGUAUCAGAAGUGCGAAUGCUGACAUGAGUAACGACAAUGCGAGUGAAAAACUCGCACGCCGAAAGACCAAGGGUUCCUGCGCAACGUUAAUCGACGCAGGGUGAGUCGGUCCCUAAGGCGAGGCUGAAGAGCGUAGUCGAUGGGAAACGGGUUAAUAUUCCCGUACUUCUGGUUACUGCGAUGGGGGGACGGAGAAGGUUAGGCCAGCUUGGCGUUGGUUGUCCAAGUUUAAGGUGGUAGGCAGGUUUCUUAGGUAAAUCCGGGAAAUCAAUGCCGAGAACUGAUGACGAGCUUUCUUUUAGAAAGUGAAGUGGUUGAUACCAUGCUUCCAGGAAAAGCCUCUAAGCUUCAGGUAAUCAGGAACCGUACCCCAAACCGACACAGGUGGUUGGGUAGAGAAUACCAAGGCGCUUGAGAGAACUCGGGUGAAGGAACUAGGCAAAAUGGCACCGUAACUUCGGGAGAAGGUGCGCCGGUGAGGGUGAAGUAUUUACUACGUAAGCCUUUGCUGGUCGAAGAUACCAGGCCGCUGCGACUGUUUAUUAAAAACACAGCACUCUGCAAACACGAAAGUGGACGUAUAGGGUGUGACGCCUGCCCGGUGCCGGAAGGUUAAUUGAUGGGGUUAGCGCAAGCGAAGCUCUUGAUCGAAGCCCCGGUAAACGGCGGCCGUAACUAUAACGGUCCUAAGGUAGCGAAAUUCCUUGUCGGGUAAGUUCCGACCUGCACGAAUGGCGUAACGAUGGCGGCGCUGUCUCCACCCGAGACUCAGUGAAAUUGAAAUCGCUGUGAAGAUGCAGUGUAUCCGCGGCUAGACGGAAAGACCCCGUGAACCUUUACUAUAGCUUUGCACUGGACUUUGAGUUUACUUGUGUAGGAUAGGUGGGAGGCUUUGAAGCGUGGACGCCAGUUCGCGUGGAGCCAACCUUGAAAUACCACCCUGGUAACCUUGAGGUUCUAACUCUGGUCCGUUAUCCGGAUCGAGGACAGUGUAUGGUGGGUAGUUUGACUGGGGCGGUCUCCUCCUAAAGAGUAACGGAGGAGUACGAAGGUGCGCUCAGACCGGUCGGAAAUCGGUCGUAGAGUAUAAAGGCAAAAGCGCGCUUGACUGCGAGACAGACACGUCGAGCAGGUACGAAAGUAGGUCUUAGUGAUCCGGUGGUUCUGUAUGGAAGGGCCAUCGCUCAACGGAUAAAAGGUACUCCGGGGAUAACAGGCUGAUACCGCCCAAGAGUUCAUAUCGACGGCGGUGUUUGGCACCUCGAUGUCGGCUCAUCACAUCCUGGGGCUGAAGCCGGUCCCAAGGGUAUGGCUGUUCGCCAUUUAAAGUGGUACGCGAGCUGGGUUUAGAACGUCGUGAGACAGUUCGGUCCCUAUCUGCCGUGGACGUUUGAGAUUUGAGAGGGGCUGCUCCUAGUACGAGAGGACCGGAGUGGACGAACCUCUGGUGUUCCGGUUGUCACGCCAGUGGCAUUGCCGGGUAGCUAUGUUCGGGAGAGAUAACCGCUGAAAGCAUCUAAGCGGGAAACUUGCCUCAAGAUGAGAUCUCACUGGAGCCUUGAGCUCCCUGAAGGGCCGUCGAAGACUACGACGUUGAUAGGCUGGGUGUGUAAGCGUUGUGAGGCGUUGAGCUAACCAGUACUAAUUGCCCGUGAGGCUUGACCAUAUAACACCCAAACA